GAGUUUGAUCCUGGCUCAGAAUGAACGCUGGCGGCAGGCCUAACACAUGCAAGUCGAACGGAGUUAUAUUGUAGCUUGCUAUGGUAUAACUUAGUGGCAGACGGGUGAGUAAUGUAUAGGAAUCUACCUAGUAGUACGGAAUAAUUGUUGGAAACGGCAACUAAUACCGUAUACGCCCUACGGGGGAAAAAUUUAUUGCUAUUAGAUGAGCCUAUAUUAAAUUAGUUAGUUGGUGAGGUAAAGGCUUACCAAGACAAUGAUCUAUAGCUGAUCUGAGAGGAUGAUCAGCCACACUGGAACUGAGAUACGGUCCAGACUCCUACGGGA
RNAcentral lists this ribosomal RNA (327 nucleotides) under uncultured Wolbachia sp. Its description in RNAcentral is "bacterial SSU rRNA". It matches the Rfam family "Bacterial small subunit ribosomal RNA", at positions 9 to 346 of the family's 1533-position model. The record is from RNAcentral. Lineage: Bacteria; Pseudomonadati; Pseudomonadota; Alphaproteobacteria; Rickettsiales; Anaplasmataceae.